AGUUAGUUGGUGGGGUAACGGCCUACCAAGACGAUGAUCAGUAGCCGGACUGAGAGGUUGAACGGCCACAUUGGGACUGAGAUACGGCCCAGACUCCUACGGGAGGCAGCAGUGGGGAAUCUUCCGCAAUGGACGAAAGUCUGACGGAGCAACGCCGCGUGAGUGAUGACGGCCUUCGGGUUGUAAAGCUCUGUUAAUCGGGACGAAUGGUUCUUGUGCGAAUAGUGCGAGGAUUUGACGGUACCGGAAUAGAAAGCCACGGCUAACUACGUGCCAGCAGCCGCGGUAAUACGUAGGUGGCAAGCGUUGUCCGGAAUUAUUGGGCGUAAAGCGCGCGCAGGCGGAUUGGUCAGUCUGUCUUAAAAGUUCGGGGCUUAACCCCGUGAUGGGAUGGAAACUGCCAAUCUAGAGUAUCGGAGAGGAAAGUGGAAUUCCUAGUGUAGCGGUGAAAUGCGUAGAUAUUAGGAAGAACACCAGUGGCGAAGCGACUUUCUGGACGAAAACUGACGCUGAGGCGCGAAAGCCAUGGGAGCGAACGGGAUUAGAUACCCCGGUAGUCCUGGCCGUAAACGAUGGGUACUAGGUGUAGGAGGUAUCGACCCCUUCUGUGCCGGAGUUAACGCAAUAGUACCCCGCCUGGGGAGUACGACCGCAGGUUGAAACUCAAAGGAAUUGACGG
This 679-nucleotide ribosomal RNA is filed under the name uncultured bacterium. RNAcentral's name for it is "bacterial SSU rRNA". It matches the Rfam family "Bacterial small subunit ribosomal RNA", at positions 243 to 916 of the family's 1533-position model. The record is from RNAcentral.